GUGAUAGCUCAGCUGGUAGAGCAUGAGACUCUUAAUCUCAGGGUGGUGGGUUUGAGCCCCACGUUGGGCA
RNAcentral lists this transfer RNA (70 nucleotides) under Podarcis lilfordi (Lilford's wall lizard). RNAcentral describes it as "tRNA.Lys". The stretch from base 5 to 62 matches the Rfam family "tRNA", at positions 8 to 63 of the family's 71-position model. Rfam says of the family: Transfer RNA (tRNA) molecules are approximately 80 nucleotides in length. Their secondary structure includes four short double-helical elements and three loops (D, anti-codon, and T loops). Further hydrogen bonds mediate the characteristic L-shaped molecular structure. tRNAs have two regions of fundamental functional importance: the anti-codon, which is responsible for specific mRNA codon recognition, and the 3' end, to which the tRNAs corresponding amino acid is attached (by aminoacyl-tRNA synthetases). tRNAs cope with the degeneracy of the genetic code in two manners: having more than one tRNA (with a specific anti-codon) for a particular amino acid; and 'wobble' base-pairing, i.e. permitting non-standard base-pairing at the 3rd anti-codon position. The record is from RNAcentral. Lineage: Eukaryota; Metazoa; Chordata; Lepidosauria; Squamata; Lacertidae.